RNAcentral lists this unclassified non-coding RNA (338 nucleotides) under soil metagenome. Its description in RNAcentral is "partial contains 5.8S ribosomal RNA, internal transcribed spacer 2, and large subunit ribosomal RNA". The stretch from base 1 to 120 matches the Rfam family "5.8S ribosomal RNA", at positions 35 to 154 of the family's 154-position model. The record is from RNAcentral.
GAUGAAGAACGUAGCGAAAUGCGAUAAGUAAUGUGAAUUGCAGAAUUCAGUGAAUCAUCGAAUCUUUGAACGCACCUUGCGCCCUUUGGUAUUCCAAAGGGCAUGCCUGUUCGAGCGUCAUUUGUACCCUCAAGCUUUGCUUGGUGUUGGGCGUCUUGUCUCCAGUUCGCUGGAGACUCGCCUUAAAGUAAUUGGCAGCCGGCCUACUGGUUUCGGAGCGCAGCACAAGUCGCGCUCUCUUCCAGCCAAGGUCAGCAUCCACAAAGCCUUUUUUCAACUUUUGACCUCGGAUCAGGUAGGGAUACCCGCUGAACUUAAGCAUAUCAAUAAGCGGAGGA